GUAGGGUGCGAGCGUUAAUCGGAAUUACUGGGCGUAAAGCGUGCGCAGGCGGUUUUGUAAGCCAGAUGUGAAAGCCCCGGGCUUAACCUGGGAAUGGCAUUUGGGACUGCAAGGCUUGAGUUUGGCAGAGGAGACUGGAAUUCCUGGUGUAGCAGUGAAAUGCGUAGAUAUCAGGAGGAAUACCGAUGGCGAAGGCAGGUCUCUGGGCUGAAACUGACGCUCAUGCACGAAAGCGUGGGGAGCAAACAGGAUUAGAUACCCUGGUAGUCCACGCCCUAAACGAUGUCGACUGGUUGUUGGGGGUUUGACACUCUCAGUAACGAAGCUAACGCGUGAAGUCGACCGCCUGGGGAGUACGGCCGCAAGGUUA
RNAcentral lists this ribosomal RNA (370 nucleotides) under uncultured bacterium. RNAcentral's name for it is "bacterial SSU rRNA". It matches the Rfam family "Bacterial small subunit ribosomal RNA", at positions 527 to 896 of the family's 1533-position model. The record is from RNAcentral.